Molecule: ribosomal RNA, 314 nt
Filed under: uncultured eukaryote
Lineage: Eukaryota
Description: partial 18S ribosomal RNA
Rfam family: Eukaryotic small subunit ribosomal RNA
Source: RNAcentral
CCCUUAGAUGUUCUGGGCCGCACGCGCGCUACACUGACGAAUGCAACGAGCUUAUAACCUUGGCCGAAAGGUCUGGGUAAUCUCCAAAUUUCGUCGUGAUGGGGAUAGAUUAUUGCAAUUAUUAAUCUUCAACGAGGAAUACCUAGUAAGCGCAAGUCAUCAGCUUGCGUUGAUUACGUCCCUGCCCUUUGUACACACCGCCCGUCGCACCUACCGAUUGAAUGGUCCGGUGAAGCCUCCGGAUUGGCGCGCACCUCGGUGCCGCCGAGAAGUUGGCUAAACCUUACCAUUUAGAGGAAGGUGAAGUCGUAACA